This 253-nucleotide ribosomal RNA is filed under the name uncultured bacterium. RNAcentral's name for it is "partial 16S ribosomal RNA". It matches the Rfam family "Bacterial small subunit ribosomal RNA", at positions 524 to 776 of the family's 1533-position model. The record is from RNAcentral. RNAcentral also lists the same sequence under 1 other name.
GACGUAGGGGGCCAGCGUUGCUCGGAAUUACUGGGCGUAAAGGGUUCGUAGGCGGUGUGGUAAGUCGGAAGUGAAAUCUCUGGGCUUAACUCAGAGGCUGCUUUCGAAACUGCCGCGCUAGAGUGCGGGAGAGGCGAGUGGAAUUACAGGUGUAGCGGUGAAAUGCGUAGAUAUCUGUAGGAACACCCGUGGCGAAGGCGGCUCGCUGGACCGCAACUGACGCUGAGGAACGAAAGCUAGGGGAGCAAACAGG